This 1273-nucleotide long non-coding RNA is filed under the name Taeniopygia guttata (zebra finch). Its description in RNAcentral is "lncRNA (ENSTGUG00000022352.1)". Lineage: Eukaryota; Metazoa; Chordata; Aves; Passeriformes; Estrildidae. The record is from RNAcentral.
CCGGAGCCAGUCCCGGUGUCGGUGCCGGUGUAACUCCCAGUGUAGCGCCCAGUGUAGCUCCCGGUCCCGGUACUGGUGUCACUCCCGGUGUUGGUCCCAGUGUCAGUCCCGCUCCCGGUGCCGCUCUCGGUGUCACUCCCGGUGUCACUCCCGAUGUCCCUCCCGAUCCCGGUGCCAGUCCCAUUCCCAGUCCUGUCCCGGUGUUGGUCCCGGUGUCGGUCCUGGUGUCAGUGCCAGUUCCGGUCCUGCUGUCAGGUCGGUCCCGGUGUCAGGUCGGUCCUGGUGCCAGUCCCGAUCCUGGUGUCGGUGCCGGUCCCGGUCCCGGUGUCAGGUCGGUCCCGGUGUCAUUGGAGUCCCGGUCCCAGUGCCAGUCCCGGUCCCGGUGUCAUUAGAGUCCCGAUCCCGGUGUCAGUCCCAGUCCCGGUGUCGGUCCCGAUCCUGGUGUCGGUGCCGGUCCUGGUCCCAGUGCCAGUCCCAGUCCCGGUGUCAUUGGACUCCCGGUGCCAGUCCCAGUCCCGGUGCCAGUCCCAGUCCCGGUGCCAGUCCCAGUCCCGGUGCCAGGUCGGUCCCGGUGCCAGUCCCGGUCCCGGUGCCGGUCCCGGUCCCGGUGCCAGUCCCGAUCCUGGUGUCAGUCCCGGUCCCAGUGUCAGGUCGGUCCCGGUGUCAGGUCGGUCCCGGGGUCAUUGGAGUCCCGGUCCCAGUGCCGGUCCCGGUCCCGGGGCCAGCCCCGGUCCCGGUGUCAGUGCCGGUCCCGAUGUCAGGUCGGUCCCGGUGUCAUUGGAGUCCCGGUGCCAGUCCCGAUCCCGGUGCCGGUCCCGGUCCCGGUGUCAGUGCCGGUCCCGGUCCCGGUGCCGGUUCCAGUCCCGGUGUCAGGUUGGUCCCAGUGUCAUUGGAGUCCCGGUCCCGGUUUCAGGUCGGUCCCGGUGUCAGUCCCGAUCCCGGUGUCAGUCACAGUCCCAGUGCCAGUCCCGGUCCCGGUAUCAGGUCGGUCCCGGUGCCAGUCCCGGUGUCGGUGCCAGUCCCGGUCCCGGUGCCAGUCCCGGUCCCGGUGCCGCUCCCGGCACUUCUUUGCGCCCCGGGGAUCGGGAUCGGGAAGGGCUCCGUCCGUGGGAAGGGAAAUUUUGGGUGUCGGGACUGAAAAAUGAAACGGGAGCGAAGCUGCCGGGGGGAGUUCAAAAAGUGAAAGUGGGAAUAAGCAAAAUAAAAAUGAAAUAACAGCUUUAAAAAUUAAUUUAAUUUUUAAAAAUAAAUUUAAAGAAAAAAUUAAAAUUAA